UGGGGAAUAUUGCACAAUGGGCGCAAGCCUGAUGCAGCCAUGCCGCGUGUAUGAAGAAGGCCUUCGGGUUGUAAAGUACUUUCAGCAGGGAGGAAGGUGUCAAGGUUAAUAACCUUUGCAAUUGACGUUACCGACAGAAGAAGGACCGGCUAACACCGUGCCAGCAGCCGCGGUAAUACGGAGGGUGCAGGCGUUAAUCGGAAGUACUUGGCGUAAAGCGCACGCAGGCGGUUUGUUAAGUCAGAUGUGAAAUCCCCGGGCUCAACCUGGGAACUGCAGCUGAUACUGGCAAGCUUGAGUCUCGUAGAGGGGGGUAGAAUUCCAGGUGUAGCGGUGAAAUGCGUAGAGAUCUGGAGGAAUACCGGUGGCGAAGGCGGCCCCCUGGACGAAGACUGACGCUCAGGUGCGAAAGCGUGGGGAGCAAACAGG
RNAcentral lists this ribosomal RNA (429 nucleotides) under Chloroflexota bacterium. RNAcentral's name for it is "Chloroflexi bacterium partial 16S ribosomal RNA". It matches the Rfam family "Bacterial small subunit ribosomal RNA", at positions 355 to 776 of the family's 1533-position model. The record is from RNAcentral. Lineage: Bacteria; Bacillati; Chloroflexota.